AAUAAACGUUGGCGGUGCGCCUUAUGCAUGCAAGUCGAACGGGGUUAUGAUCUUCGGAUUGUAACCUAGUGGCGAACGGCUGAGUAACGCGUAAGUAACCUGCCUUGGAGUGGGAAAUAACCUGCCGAAAGGUGAGCUAAUGUCCCAGUGGUAACGAGGCGAAUGCCUGGUUAUUAAAGCCUCCGGGUGCUCCGAGAGGGGCUUGCGUCUGAUUAGCUGGUUGGUGGGGUAAUGGCCUACCAAGGCGAUGAUCGGUAGCUGGUCUGAGAGGAUGAUCAGCCAGAUGGGGACUGAGACACGGCCCCAACUCCUACGGGAGGCAGCAGCAAGGAAUCUUGGGCAAUGAGCGAAAGCUUGACCCAGCGACACCGCGUGAGGGAUGAAGGCCUUCGGGUUGUAAACCUCUUUUCUUGGGGAAGAAUUCUGACGGUACCCAAGGAAUAAGCCUCGGCUAACUACGUGCCAGCAGCCGCGGUAAUACGUAGGAGGCGAACGUUAUUCGGAAUUACUGGGCGUAAAGGGAGCGUAGGCGGUUCCUUAAGUCAGAUGUGAAAUCUUCUGACUCAAUCAGAAGAGGUCAUUUGAUACUAAGGGGCUUGAGAGCAACAGAGGGAAAUGGAAUCCCCAGUGUAGCGGUGAAAUGCGUAGAUAUUGGGGAGAACACCAGUGGCGAAGGCGAUUUCCCAGGUUGUUUCUGACGCUGAGGCUCGAAAGCGUGGGGAGCGAAGCGGAUUAGAUACCCGCGUAGUCCACGCCCUAAACGGUGGACACUAGAUAUGGGAAGUAUCGACCCUUUCUGUGUCGAAGCUAACGCCUUAAGUGUCCCGCCUGGGGAGACGGCCGCAAGGCU
Molecule: ribosomal RNA, 850 nt
Filed under: uncultured Chloroflexota bacterium
Lineage: Bacteria; Bacillati; Chloroflexota
Description: bacterial SSU rRNA
Rfam family: Bacterial small subunit ribosomal RNA
Source: RNAcentral